AUGAAGAAUAACCAAGUUCUUAUAAGAAUAUUGUUUCUCAUAGCAAUGGAUUACAUGGUCGUAGCCAUGUUGAUAUGUUUCUUAUGUGCAUCUGGCGAUCUCCCUUCAGUAGAUGCAUAUGGAGACAUGGGAACCAAUGGGACGUUUUUAACAUCACCAAGAUCAGCACUGUUUGUGUUAGCUGGGAGGAAUAAAUACAAAGGCAACAAUGAUGUCAAUCUUAUAGUUGGAUGGGGCACCAGGCUGAGCAGCUACGGCGCGCGAGUUAAAAUAGGUAUAUGGAGUUCACAAGGACAACAUCAUUCCCAAGAAUCUGGGGCAUCAAUAUAUAUCAGCAGUAUUGAUCUAGAUCGGUCCUCCUUUAGUUCUAUCGAAGCUGGAUUUCAUGUACUUCCCGAGUUAUAUAAUAAUAAUAAUGUCCAUUUCUUUAUACGAUGGACGAAAGACAAUUACAAACCAACGGGCUGUUAUAAUUUGGACUGCCCCGGUUUUGUGCCUGCUAGUGGAGCUGCACUUGUUCCAGGCCAAGCUGUUGCUCCUCCCUCAACCUACGACAGGGACGAUCGCUACAUAACAAUUAGCAUGCACACUGACCCAAACACGAGAGAUUGGGUGUUGUAUCGAGAUGACUUGCGUAAACCUCAAUUUUUGGGGCACUUUCCAAAAGAGCUUUGUCCUAAACUGUAUGGUAUAGCUCCCGGAGUAGCGUGGAUUGGAUUUGUUAAGGAUAGGGAUCAAGGUGGUCCCGCAAUGGGUAGUGGUCAUUUUCCAGAAGAAGGCCAAAGGAAAGCAGCAUACUUCAAGAAUAUCAAGCUCUUUGAUUCCAAAGCUAAUGUGUAUGAUCCGAGUGGCUUGGUUACACUUGUCACCAGGCCAAACUGUUACAAGGUAAGUGAGCUUAUGCAUGCUAGAAAUGACGGAUAUAUGUUUUACUAUGGAGGUCCAGCUGGUUGUAUUGGUUGA
This 963-nucleotide ribosomal RNA is filed under the name Triticum aestivum (bread wheat). RNAcentral describes it as "partial small subunit ribosomal RNA". The record is from RNAcentral. Lineage: Eukaryota; Viridiplantae; Streptophyta; Magnoliopsida; Poales; Poaceae.